CUUGGUCAUUUAGAGGAAGUAAAAGUCGUAACAAGGUUUCCGUAGGUGAACCUGCGGAAGGAUCAUUAAAGAAUACCGGCUUCGCAGCCAAUAUUCUCGCCCUCUGUAUACCAAACUUUGUUGCUUUGGCAGGCCCCUGGCUUCAGCUGGACUGUGCCUGCCAGAGGACCCCUAACUCUUGAAUGCCUGCUGUCUGAGUACUAUCUAAAUAGUUAAAACUUUCAACAACGGAUCUCUUGGUUCUGGCAUCGAUGAAGAACGCAGCGAAAUGCGAUAAGUAAUGUGAAUUGCAGAAUUCAGUGAAUCAUCGAAUCUUUGAACGCACAUUGCGCCCGCUGGUAUUCCGGCGGGCAUGCCUGUUCGAGCGUCAUUAUGACCAAUCAAGCUCUGCUUGGCUUUGGGGCCCGCUGUACCGGCGGCCCUUAAAAUCAGUGGCGGUGCCGUCUGGCUCUAAGCGUAGUAAUACUUUUCGCUAUAGGGUUUAGUCGUUCACCCGCCAGAACCCCCCAACUUUCUUAGGUUGACCUCGGAUCAGGUAGGGAUACCCGCUGAACUUAAGCAUAUCAAUAAGCGGAGGAA
Molecule: small RNA, 579 nt
Filed under: uncultured Helotiales
Lineage: Eukaryota; Fungi; Ascomycota; Leotiomycetes; Helotiales
Description: eukaryotic LSU rRNA
Rfam family: 5.8S ribosomal RNA (bases 217-370)
Source: RNAcentral